GGCGCACGGGUGCGUAACACGUGGGUAAUCUGCCUGGAAGUCCGGAACAACCUUCCGAAAGGUUGGCUAAUGCCGGAUAAGCUCACAGGGUCCUCGGACCUCGUGAGAAAAGAUGGCCUCUGUUUACAUGCUAUCUCUUCCAGAUGAGCCCGCGGCCCAUCAGCUAGUUGGCGGGGUAAUGGCCCACCAAGGCAACGACGGGUAGCUGGUCUGAGAGGACGAUCAGCCACACUGGAACUGAGACACGGUCCAGACUCCUACGGGAGGCAGCAGUGGGGAAUUUUGCGCAAUGGGCGAAAGCCUGACGCAGCAACGCCGCGUGUGUGAUGAAGGUUUUCGGAUCGUAAAGCACUUUCGACCGGGAAGAAAAUGCAUUGGCUAACAUCCAAUGAACUGACGGUACCGGGAGAAGAAGCACCGGCUAACUCUGUGCCAGCAGCCGC
This 443-nucleotide ribosomal RNA is filed under the name uncultured bacterium. RNAcentral describes it as "bacterial SSU rRNA". It matches the Rfam family "Bacterial small subunit ribosomal RNA", at positions 97 to 518 of the family's 1533-position model. The record is from RNAcentral.